UAGCACUUCAGCUGCUGGGGUGAGCUGAGACAUAGAGGUGCUGUUUAUGUGUUAUCUGAAUAGAUUAUUUCAGGUAAAGAUCUCCAAUCUGUUUCUGAAGAAUUUCAAAUAAUCCAAAGGAGAGAUUCAGUAAAGCACAAUCUGUCUCUUGCUUAUCAGCUAACAGUAUCAGGAAUUUGAUCUCCCAAAGACUACCCAGCAGUUUGCAGCACACAAACAAGCUGAAGGGAGUAGAGAAGAUUCACAGACCAAUAAAAGAGAGGGCUGAGGAGUAGAAAGAUGUUUUUUCUCCUAUAAGAUACCAUCAAUUUUGUAUCAGAAAUACUUUGCUCUGCCCACCAGUGCUUCUGAUGUUCACAUGGACAUUAAGGACUGCCACAACAUAAAAGAUUUAAGGCUGAAAAAUUGCGUUACUCAACUUCAUUAGAGUGUGCAGAAUUAUGCAGGAGGAGAAAAAAACAGCUUCAAGAACUUUGAAACCAAUGGUGAUGUCUUUCCAGAUGUUUCUAAGGUCAUAGCUUCCUGGACAGAGUCUGAGGUCAACAGUAUUUUUAUUCAUUUCAGUUAAUUUCCUGUAAAUAUUCCAGUAAU
Molecule: long non-coding RNA, 591 nt
Filed under: Numida meleagris (helmeted guineafowl)
Lineage: Eukaryota; Metazoa; Chordata; Aves; Galliformes; Numididae
Description: lncRNA (ENSNMEG00000009658.1)
Source: RNAcentral